CGGACGGGUGAGUAAUGCUUGGGAAUCUAGCUUAUGGAGGGGGAUAACUACGGGAAACUGUAGCUAAUACCGUGUAAUAUCGAAAGAUUAAAGUGUGGGACCUUCGGGCCACAUGCCAUAGGAUGAGCCCAAGUGGGAUUAGGUAGUUGGUGAGGUAAAGGCUCACCAAGCCGACGAUCUCUAGCUGGUCUGAGAGGAUGACCAGCCACACUGGGACUGAGACACGGCCCAG
RNAcentral lists this ribosomal RNA (232 nucleotides) under uncultured bacterium. RNAcentral describes it as "partial 16S ribosomal RNA". It matches the Rfam family "Bacterial small subunit ribosomal RNA", at positions 99 to 334 of the family's 1533-position model. The record is from RNAcentral.